GGCCCGGUGGCAGAGUGGCUAUGCAGCGGACUGCAAAUCCGCCUACGUCGGUUCAAUUCCGGCCCGGGCCU
This 71-nucleotide transfer RNA is filed under the name Limimonas halophila. RNAcentral describes it as "Rhodospirillaceae bacterium Ia16 tRNA". It matches the Rfam family "tRNA". From Rfam's summary of the family: Transfer RNA (tRNA) molecules are approximately 80 nucleotides in length. Their secondary structure includes four short double-helical elements and three loops (D, anti-codon, and T loops). The record is from Rfam by way of RNAcentral. Lineage: Bacteria; Pseudomonadati; Pseudomonadota; Alphaproteobacteria; Rhodospirillales; Rhodovibrionaceae.